Molecule: unclassified non-coding RNA, 520 nt
Filed under: uncultured Glomus
Lineage: Eukaryota; Fungi; Glomeromycota; Glomeromycetes; Glomerales; Glomeraceae
Description: SSU rRNA
Rfam family: Eukaryotic small subunit ribosomal RNA
Source: RNAcentral
AGCAGCCGCGGUAAUUCCAGCUCCAAUAGCGUAUAUUAAAGUUGCUGCAGUUAAAAAGCUCGUAGUUGAAUUUCGGGGAUCAAUAUGUUGGUCGUGCCUCGGUACGUACUAGCUUAUUGGUUUCUUCCUUCUGACGAACCAUAAUGUCAUUUAUUUGGUGUUAUGGGGAAUCAGGACUGUUACUUUGAAAAAAUUAGAGUGUUUAAAGCAGGCUCACGCUUGAAUACAUUAGCAUGGAAUAAUGAAAUAGGACGUUUGAUUCUAUUUUGUUGGUUUCUAGGAUCGACGUAAUGAUUAAUAGGGAUAGUUGGGGGCAUUAGUAUUCAAUUGUCAGAGGUGAAAUUCUUGGAUUUAUUGAAGACUAACUACUGCGAAAGCAUUUGCCAAGGAUGUUUUCAUUAAUCAAGAACGAAAGUUAGGGGAUCGAAGACGAUCAGAUACCGUCGUAGUCUUAACCAUAAACUAUGCCGACUAGGGAUCGGAUGAUGUUAAUUUUUUAAUGACUCAUUCGGCGCCUUAA